AACGCUAGCUACAGGCUUAACACAUGCAAGUCGAGGGGAAACGACAUCGAAAGCUUGCUUUUGAUGGGCGUCGACCGGCGCACGGGUGAGUAACGCGUAUCCAACCUGCCCACCACUUGGGGAUAACCUUGCGAAAGUAAGACUAAUACCCAAUGAUAUCCCACGAAGGCAUCCGAAUGGGAUUAAAGAUUUAUCGGUGAUGGAUGGGGAUGCGUCUGAUUAGCUUGUUGGCGGGGUAACGGCCCACCAAGGCAACGAUCAGUAGGGGUUCUGAGAGGAAGGUCCCCCACAUUGGAACUGAGACACGGUCCAAACUCCUACGGGAGGCAGCAGUGAGGAAUAUUGGUCAAUGGGCGAGAGCCUGAACCAGCCAAGUAGCGUGCAGGAUGACGGCCCUAUGGGUUGUAAACUGCUUUUAUAAGGGAAUAAAGUGGGUCACGUGUGACUUUUUGCAUGUACCUUAUGAAUAAGGACCGGCUAAUUCCGUGCCAGCAGCCGCGGUAAUACGGAAGGUCCGGGCGUUAUCCGGAUUUAUUGGGUUUAAAGGGAGCGUAGGCCGGAGAUUAAGCGUGUUGUGAAAUGUAGUGGCUCAACCUCUGCACUGCAGCGCGAACUGGUCUUCUUGAGUACGCACAACGUGGGCGGAAUUCGUGGUGUAGCGGUGAAAUGCUUAGAUAUCACGAAGAACUCCGAUUG
Molecule: ribosomal RNA, 696 nt
Filed under: uncultured Bacteroidales bacterium
Lineage: Bacteria; Pseudomonadati; Bacteroidota; Bacteroidia; Bacteroidales
Description: bacterial SSU rRNA
Rfam family: Bacterial small subunit ribosomal RNA
Source: RNAcentral